Long non-coding RNA from Octopus sinensis (East Asian common octopus), 143 nucleotides. RefSeq lists it as uncharacterized. The transcript is spliced from 3 exons. The record is from RefSeq and is a predicted model, not a curated record. Lineage: Eukaryota; Metazoa; Mollusca; Cephalopoda; Octopoda; Octopodidae.
GCGUGUUUCUUAAAUGUCUUAUUAACACCUUCCACAUUGCAAUUGAUCUCGUUCCAGCACACGAUCUAAGAUCAGGUCGCUUGCUAUGCAAAUAUAUCUCCGUAAUAUAAUGUAAUAUAAUAUCUAUAUUAUAUAAGUAUAUA